Molecule: ribosomal RNA, 468 nt
Filed under: Granulicatella elegans
Lineage: Bacteria; Bacillati; Bacillota; Bacilli; Lactobacillales; Carnobacteriaceae
Description: bacterial SSU rRNA
Rfam family: Bacterial small subunit ribosomal RNA
Source: RNAcentral
GACGAACGCUGGCGGCGUGCCUAAUACAUGCAAGUCGAACGAGAGCGACCGGUGCUUGCACUGGUCAAUCUAGUGGCGAACGGGUGAGUAACACGUGGGUAACCUGCCCAUCAGAGGGGGAUAACAUUCGGAAACGGAUGCUAAAACCGCAUAGGUUCUUGAGUCGCAUGACCCGAGAAGGAAAAGAGGCUUCGGCUUCUGCUGAUGGAUGGACCCGCGGUGCAUUAGCUAGUUGGUGAGGUAACGGCUCACCAAGGCCGUGAUGCAUAGCCGACCUGAGAGGGUGAUCGGCCACAUUGGGACUGAGACACGGCCCAAACUCCUACGGGAGGCAGCAGUAGGGAAUCUUCCGCAAUGGACGCAAGUCUGACGGAGCAACGCCGCGUGAGUGAAGAAGGAUUUCGGUUCGUAAAACUCUGUUGUUAGAGAAGAACAGCGCAUAGAGUAACUGUUAUGCGUGUGACGGAU